UGCUGGUGUCGUUCGGCGACGUGCUGACGCUCUGUCGCGGCGUCCCCGAGCUGCGGCCGGGCUACGGGGCGUUGUGCGAGGCAACGGCCCGCUU
Molecule: transfer RNA, 94 nt
Filed under: Myxococcus virescens
Lineage: Bacteria; Pseudomonadati; Myxococcota; Myxococcia; Myxococcales; Myxococcaceae
Description: tRNA-Asp
Source: RNAcentral